UACGUAGGGUGCAAGCGUUGUCCGGAAUUAUUGGGCGUAAAGAGCUCGUAGGUGGCCUGUCGCGUCGGCUGUGAAAACUCGGGGCUCAACUCCGAGCUUGCAGUCGAUACGGGCAGGCUAGAGUUCGGCAGGGGAGACUGGAAUUCCUGGUGUAGCGGUGAAAUGCGCAGAUAUCAGGAGGAACACCGGUGGCGAAGGCGGAUCUCUGGGCCAUUACUGACGCUGAGGAGCGAAAGCGUGGGGAGCGAACAGG
This 253-nucleotide ribosomal RNA is filed under the name uncultured bacterium. Its description in RNAcentral is "partial 16S ribosomal RNA". It matches the Rfam family "Bacterial small subunit ribosomal RNA", at positions 524 to 776 of the family's 1533-position model. The record is from RNAcentral.